CCCUUAGAUGUUCUGGGCUGCACGCGCGCUACACUGAUGCGUUCAACAAGUGUUAACCUUGCCCGAUAGGGUUGGGUAAUCUUUUGAAAGCGCAUCGUGAUGGGGAUCGAUGACUGCAAUUGUUCAUCUUCAACGAGGAAUUCCUAGUAAGCGCAAGUCAUCAGCUUGCACUGAUUACGUCCCUGCCCUUUGUACACACCGCCCGUCGCCCCUACCGAUUGAGUGAUCCGGUGAAUAGUUCGGAUCGUGCAGGUUGCCUUCGGGUGCUUGUAUGAGAAGUUCAGUAAACCUUAUCACUUAGAGGAAGGAGAAGUCGUAACA
RNAcentral lists this ribosomal RNA (321 nucleotides) under uncultured eukaryote. RNAcentral's name for it is "partial 18S ribosomal RNA". It matches the Rfam family "Eukaryotic small subunit ribosomal RNA", at positions 1470 to 1796 of the family's 1831-position model. The record is from RNAcentral.